UACAGAGGUCUCAAGCGUUGUUCGGAUUUACUGGGCGUAAAGGGUGUGUAGGCGGUUGGGUAAGUCUGAAGUGAAAUCUCUAAGCUCAACUUAGAAAAUGCUUCGGAUACUAUCCGGCUAGAGGGUCGGAGAGGAGAUCGGAAUUCUCGGUGUAGCAGUGAAAUGCGUAGAUAUCGAGAGGAACAUCAGUGGCGAAGGCGGAUCUCUGGACGAAUCCUGACGCUGAGGCACGAAAGCCAGGGUAGCAAACGGGAUUAGAUACCCCGGUAGUCCUGGCUGUAAACGGUGCGCACUUGCUGUGAGCGGAUUCAAACCCGCUCGUGGCGUAGCUAACGCGAUAAGUGCGCCGCCUGGGAAGUACGGUCGCAAGAUUA
This 374-nucleotide ribosomal RNA is filed under the name uncultured prokaryote. RNAcentral's name for it is "bacterial SSU rRNA". It matches the Rfam family "Bacterial small subunit ribosomal RNA", at positions 524 to 896 of the family's 1533-position model. The record is from RNAcentral.